AGGCCCAAGUGCAGCUAUCAGACAAAAAGYGAAACACAGGAGCACUCCACUCAGAUCUGCUCCUCACCCUGUGUCCUCUCAUCCUCGCCGUGAGAGACUCUGCUAUGGCAAAACGUCUUCUUCCAGGAGAGGGCAGUGGUGCCCACAUGCACACUCCUCCAGUCUCUGCUGUCCUGCUGACUUAGUGGAAAGAUAAUUUUCCUCAUGUCUUGCAUGAGCAAAGAAAAGGUGGAAGGAAGGAAAGCGCCCCGUCCCCACACAGUGUGCACACUACAAGCAGGGAGAGUUGUUCU
This 293-nucleotide long non-coding RNA is filed under the name Apteryx owenii (little spotted kiwi). Its description in RNAcentral is "lncRNA (ENSAOWG00000016102.1)". The record is from RNAcentral. Lineage: Eukaryota; Metazoa; Chordata; Aves; Apterygiformes; Apterygidae.